This 85-nucleotide transfer RNA is filed under the name Felis catus (domestic cat). It matches the Rfam family "tRNA". Rfam says of the family: Transfer RNA (tRNA) molecules are approximately 80 nucleotides in length. Their secondary structure includes four short double-helical elements and three loops (D, anti-codon, and T loops). Lineage: Eukaryota; Metazoa; Chordata; Mammalia; Carnivora; Felidae. The record is from Rfam by way of RNAcentral.
ACCUGAGUGGCUGAGUCAGUUAAGCCUCUGACUUCAGCUCAGGUUGUGGUCUUGCCGUUUGUGGGUUCGAGCCCCACAUUGGGCU